UAGCAGCUGACUAAGGGGCAGAGAUAAAAAGGCAGGCGUUCAUUCAAGCUAAGCCAGAAUUAGCUCAUGUCAUACAAGAAAGGCUGCGAGAAAGUGAUAUGACAGUACCUAGCUCUAAAUUCUAGUUUUGUCACUAGUUUAUCUUGAACACACGGUUCCUGAAGUCUGAGUAUGGGACGUUUCAUUCAAUAUACAGCACCUGUCAGGCAUUCGUUCGCUUUGGAUGGAUUUUUCACCUGCAUUUGGUGUGAAUAUUUCAGUAUCUGUCUGUGGGGGCUUCAUUAGGGUGACAUGCUGGAUACUGGAGAGGACGAGAUUAACAUUGCAGUGAAGGCAAAUUUUCCUUUCAAACCACCCGUCCAUCUAUUCUCACACCGGGCAUCGGAAACGCAUACACAUACAACAUCUGGAGUCGACUAGUUAAACCUCAUAAUGGGCAAGGACAGCCCAAUGGCAGUGGGAUGCAGCCAACAAGGGACUUGCUUUUUCCAUUGUGCUUUUAAUUAAACCCAUAUCCCAUUCGUAUCUGUCGUGAUAUCCUUGGCUGGAAACAAUUACAAGGGAAAUAUUUGAUUGUGGUCACACUCCACGUACAUAUUUUGCAUUAUGCAGUGCAUGAACACGAUCCGACUUCUGAGCUCUGUGUCUUUUUCUUAAUCAGCAUUGUCAUUGCAUCUCAUUACCAACAGAAUAGCAUUUCCGAUGGUGGCUUAUAGAGGCUGAUUCCCAUAAUCAAACAGCUUGGCAAUCAAACAGUCCCUAAAUUAAUGUUACCAUUUCAGCUCCACUGCUUUAAUGCAUUGAUACUAGAAUUAAUCAUAUUUUGCUCUGUCUCACUGUUCUAAUUUAUGCACUAUUGAAAUAGAAUGCAAUUAUUGACCAUUUAAUCACUGAUACACUGCAGAGUUUGUGUUUUAAGACUAGAUAUGGUCAGAGAGUAUAUGGGACCCUGGAUCACAAAACCAAUCUGAAGUCGUUGGGGUAUAUUUGUAGCAAUAGCCAAAAAAAAAAAAAAAAAAACACAUUAUAUGGGUCAAAAUUAUAGAUUUUUCUUUUAUGCCAAAAAUCAUUAGGAAAUUAAGUAAAGAUCAUGUUCCUUGAAGGUAUUUUGUAAAUUUCCUACUGUAAAUAAAUCAAAACUUAAUUUUUGAUUAGUAAUAUGCAUUGCUAAGAACUUCAUUUGGAAAACUUUAAAGGCGAUUUUCUCAGUGUUUAGAUUUUUUGCACCCUCAGAUUCCAGAUUUUCAAAUAGUUGUAUCUCGGCCAAAUAUUGUCUUAUCCUAACAAACCAUACAUUUCAGAUGAUGUAUAAAUCUCAAUUCCGAAAAAUUGAUCCCUAUGACUGGUUUUGUGGUCCAGGGUCACAUAUGUUAGAAAAUGAUCAUUCAGAGUAUUUCAUUUAUUUAUUUAUAUGUGUGCACUAGGGGUCAACAGUUUGGAAUAAUUAUGAUGUUUUAAAAUGAUGUAUCUUAUGUGCAACAAGGCUAAAUUUAUUUGAUCAAAAAUACAGUCAAAUAAAUAUUUACAAAUUAAAACUAUAUUUUAAAAUGCUAAAAAUAAAAAACUGAGCACCAAAUCAAAAUCACAGAAAUAAAUUACAUUUUAAAAUAUAUUAAAAUCGAAAACAUCUAUUUUAAAUUGUAAUAAUAUUUCAAAAUAUUUGUAAUAAAUUUGGCUAGCAUAACAUAUAUAUAUUCCAGCAUAUAUAUGUGUGUGUGUGAGGAGUGACAAAGCAAUUAAUUUUUUUUGGUCAGGCUGGUA
Molecule: long non-coding RNA, 1761 nt
Organism: Cyprinus carpio carpio
Lineage: Eukaryota; Metazoa; Chordata; Actinopteri; Cypriniformes; Cyprinidae
Source: Ensembl